UUGUAGCUCAGCUGGAUAGAGCAACGGCCUUCUAAGCCGUGGGUCGGGGGUUCGAAUCCCUUCAG
Molecule: transfer RNA, 65 nt
Filed under: bovine gut metagenome
Rfam family: tRNA
About the family: Transfer RNA (tRNA) molecules are approximately 80 nucleotides in length. Their secondary structure includes four short double-helical elements and three loops (D, anti-codon, and T loops).
Source: RNAcentral